CCUACGGGUGGCAGCAGUGAGGAAUAUUGGUCAAUGGGCGCGAGCCUGAACCAGCCAAGUAGCGUGAAGGAGGACUGCCCUACGGGUUGUAAACUUCUUUUAUAAAGGAAUAAAGUGAGGCACGUGGGCCUUGUUGUAUGUACUUGAUGAAUAAGGAUCGGCUAACUCCGUGCCAGCAGCCGCGGUAAUACGGAGGAUCCGAGCGUUAUCCGGAUUUAUUGGGGUUCAAGGGAGCGUAGAGGGGUUGUUCAGUCAGUUGGGCAAGUUUGCGGCUCAACCGUAAAAUUGCACUUGAUACUUGCAGUCUUGAGUACAGUUGAGGUCGGCGGACUUCGUGGUGUAGCGGU
RNAcentral lists this ribosomal RNA (347 nucleotides) under uncultured bacterium. RNAcentral describes it as "partial 16S ribosomal RNA". It matches the Rfam family "Bacterial small subunit ribosomal RNA", at positions 338 to 682 of the family's 1533-position model. The record is from RNAcentral.